GUCGAACGGUAGAGCGGAGCUUGCGUCCGGCUGACGAGUGGCGCACGGGUGGGUAACGCGUAUACAAUCUACCUUGUACAGGGGUAUAGCCUUUAGAAAUGAAGAAUAAUCCCCCAUAAUAUCUUAUUAGUGGCAUCGUUAAAAGAUUAAAGCUUCGGUGGUAAGAGAUGAGUAUGCGUUCUAUUAGCUAGUAGGUGAGGUAACGGCUCACCUAGGCGACGAUAGAUAGGGGCCCUGAGAGGGGGAUCCCCCACACUGGUACUGAGACACGGACCAGACUCCUACGGGAGGCAGCAGUGAGGAAUAUUGGACAAUGGGCGCAAGCCUGAUCCAGCCAUGCCGCGUGCAGGAAGACUGCCCUAUGGGUUGUAAACUGCUUUUAUAUAGGAAGAAACCAUUCUACGUGUAGAGUGCUGACGGUACUAUAAGAAUAAGCAUCGGCUAACUCCGUGCCAGCAGCCGCGGUAAUACUGAGGAUGCAAGCGUUAUCCGGAAUCAUUGGGUUUAAAGGGUCCGUAGGUGGAUAGAUAAGUCAGAGGUGAAAUCCUGCAGCUCAACUGGAGAAUUGCCUUUG
RNAcentral lists this ribosomal RNA (574 nucleotides) under uncultured bacterium. RNAcentral's name for it is "bacterial SSU rRNA". It matches the Rfam family "Bacterial small subunit ribosomal RNA", at positions 61 to 629 of the family's 1533-position model. The record is from RNAcentral.